UCUUCCCUCUGUCGGCGUGCCUAAUACAUGCAAGUCGAGCGAACGGACGAGAAGCUUGCUUCUCUGAUAUUUGCGGGGGACGGGGGGGAAACGCGUGAAUACCCCCCUUGUAUUACUGGGAAAAUUCGGGAAAACGGGAUAAAAUCCGGGAAAAUCUUUUGAACCAUUGGGUGCAAAGGAAAAUGACGGCCUUGCGGUCUCUAAUCGAUGCUUCCGCGCUGAAUGAGCUAGUUGGUAAGGUAACGGCUUACCACGGCAACGAUGCAUAGCCGACCUGAGAGGGUGAUAGGCCACACUGGAACUGGUACACGGUCCAGACUCCUACGGGAGGCAGCAGUAGGGAAUCUUACGCAAUGGGCGAAAGCCUGACGGAGCAACGCCGCGUGAGUGAUGAAGGUCUUCGGAUCGUAAAACUCUGUUAUUAGGGAAGAACAUAUGUGUAAGUAACUGUGGACAUCUUGACGGUACCUAAUCAGAAAGCCACGGCUAACUACGUG
This 497-nucleotide ribosomal RNA is filed under the name uncultured bacterium. RNAcentral describes it as "partial 16S ribosomal RNA". It matches the Rfam family "Bacterial small subunit ribosomal RNA", at positions 36 to 507 of the family's 1533-position model. The record is from RNAcentral.